RNAcentral lists this ribosomal RNA (474 nucleotides) under Streptococcus sp. oral taxon 064. Its description in RNAcentral is "bacterial SSU rRNA". It matches the Rfam family "Bacterial small subunit ribosomal RNA", at positions 28 to 486 of the family's 1533-position model. The record is from RNAcentral. Lineage: Bacteria; Bacillati; Bacillota; Bacilli; Lactobacillales; Streptococcaceae.
GACGAACGCUGGCGGCGUGCCUAAUACAUGCAAGUAGAACGCUGAAGGAGGAGCUUGCUCUUCUGGAUGAGUUGCGAACGGGUGAGUAACGCGUAGGUAACCUGCCUGGUAGCGGGGGAUAACUAUUGGAAACGAUAGCUAAUACCGCAUAACAGUAGAUGUCGCAUGACAUUUGCUUAAAAGGUGCAAUUGCAUCACUACCAGAUGGACCUGCGUUGUAUUAGCUAGUUGGUGAGGUAACGGCUCACCAAGGCGACGAUACAUAGCCGACCUGAGAGGGUGAUCGGCCACACUGGGACUGAGACACGGCCCAGACUCCUACGGGAGGCAGCAGUAGGGAAUCUUCGGCAAUGGACGGAAGUCUGACCGAGCAACGCCGCGUGAGUGAAGAAGGUUUUCGGAUCGUAAAGCUCUGUUGUAAGAGAAGAACGAGUGUGAGAGUGGAAAGUUCACACUGUGACGGUAUCUUACCAG